AUGUACUCACCUACUCAUUCUUUUCCUUUCCAAGAAUCAUCACCCUGCCAAUUCCAAAACCCAUUUCGCGUGCGUGUUGUACUUACACUGAACGGAAAUUGGUGAAAGAAUUAAUUUCAAAAGAAUUUCCCAUUACAUAGAUUAGGAAUUUAGGGCAAUCUUCUUUCUCCCCAUUUCUCUAUCCUUUUCCAAAUCUCUCCGCUGUUGAUAAAGUAAUUUUAGAAACUGUGUGGGUUUGAAGAUAGUAGAACUUUUUGUUCCAUUCAUUUGUUUUCGAUUCGAAGUUACCCUAAGCAAUUGCGCUGAUGCUAUGGAAAGACAAGGUCAGUUCUCCCUCUCCCUCUGUGUGUGUGUGUGUGUGUCAUCACCGAGCUAUGUAGCCGCCGCGACCGUGAUCAUCAUUCAGGACGGCAAAAGAUUGAAUUUUGAGGAACUAAAUCGGUGCAAAUGAAACGCAUACAAAGGAUUUUUGUGGCUAACUGGGGAGGACGUAUUUUAAUAUAGGAAUCUUUGACUACCAUUUUCUGUAACAAAUGUGGUUGGCCAAUUGUAGAAUUUGGAGUUGAGAAUAGUGGCUGCUAAAUGAGUAGAGACAUGGUUGAUGUUGCAGAAGAAGCACAAAAUAGAGAUGGAGCUAUUGUUGAUAACCCGAAAGGGGAUGGCAUUGUUAUUGAUGGGGAUACAGAUUUGGAGCCACGUAAUGGUAUUGAGUUCGAGUCACAUGAGUCUGCAUACUCAUUUUAUCAAGAAUAUGCCAAGUCUAUGGGAUUUACAACAUCAAUAAAAAACAGCCGUCGCUCGAAGAAAUCAAAAGAGUUUAUAGAUGCCAAAUUUGCGUGUUCCAGGUAUGGAGUUACACCAGAAUCAGAUGGUGGUAGCGGUAGACGGCCGGGUGUGAAAAAGACAGACUGCAAAGCCAGCAUGCAUGUGAAGAAACGUAAAGAUGGAAAAUGGUAUAUUCAUGAAUUCAUAAAGGAGCAUAAUCACGAGCUUUUGCCAGCCUUAGCAUACCAUUUUCGGAUUCAUAGGAAUGUAAAAUUAGCUGAAAAGAAUAAUAUUGACAUUGUGCAUGCUGUUAGUGAGCGGACAAGAAAGAUGUAUGUGGAGAUGUCUAGACAAUCUGCUGGGUAUCAAAAUCCACUUUUGUCUCUCUCUGAUAACAAAAAUCUUUGUAAUCUUAAGGAUGACGUAAAUUCUCAAUUUGAUAAAGGGAGGUACUUGGCUCUAGAGGAGGGGGAUGCGCAAGUUAUGCUUGGCUAUUUCAUGCACGUCCAGAAGGAGAAUCCCCAUUUCUUCUAUGCGAUAGAUUUAAAUGAAGACCAACGGCUAAGAAAUUUGUUCUGGGUUGAUGCUAAAAGUAGGAGUGACUACAUCAGCUUCAAUGAUGUUGUUUUCUUUGACACUAGUUAUAUUAAAAGCAACGACAAGAUGCCAUUUGCUCCUUUUGUUGGGGUGAACAAUCACUAUCAGUCCAUGUUACUGGGGUGUGCAUUGAUCGCAGAUGAGACUAAAUCAACAUUUUCUUGGGUAAUGAAGACAUGGCUUCGAGCCAUGGGUGGACAAGGUCCCAAGGUAAUAAUAACCGAUCAAGAUAAGGCCUUAAAGGGAGCUGUUGAAGAAAUUUUCCCAAAUGCACGUCAUUGCUUCUCUCUUUGGCAUGUCUUGGAAAAGAUCCCUGAAGCUCUUUCUCAUGUAAUCAGACGGCAUGAGAAUUUUGUUAGAAAGUUCAACAAGUGCAUUUUUAAGUCGUGGACUGAUGAACAGUUUGACAUGAAAUGGUGGAAGAUGGUAAGUAGAUUUGAACUUCAGGAAGAUAGUUGGAUUCAUUCCUUGUAUGAGGAUCGGAAAAAAUGGGUGCCUAUCUUCAUGAGGGAGACAUUUUUAGCUGGAAUGUCAAGAACUCAGCGUGCUGAAAGUGUUAACUCUUUCUUUGACAAAUACAUUCACAAAAAAAUUAGUCUGAAAGAGUUUGUAAAGCAAUACGGGACGAUUCUCCAGAAUAGGUACGAAGAGGAAGCCAUAGCUGAUUUUGAUACAUGCCAUAAACAACCUGCAUUAAAAUCUCCUUCACCCUGGGAGAAACAAAUGUCAACAGAAUACACGCAUGCAAUAUUCAAGAAAUUCCAAGUUGAGGUUUUGGGUGUAGUUGGUUGCCAUCCUAGGAAAGAGAGUGAAGAUGGAACAAGCGUUACAUUCACAGUUGAUGACUGUGAAAAGGAUGAAAAUUUUAUGGUGACAUGGAAUGAGGCAAAAUCAGAUGUUUUUUGUUCAUGUCUUCUGUUCGAAUACAGAGGUUUUCUUUGCAGACAUGCAAUGAUUGUUCUCCAAAUUUGUGGUCUUUCAAGCAUACCAUCUCACUAUAUUCUGAAGAGGUGGACUAAAGAUGCAAAGACCAGGCAAUCAAUGGUUGAAGGAACAGAACGUGUACAAACUAGAGUGCAACGGUACAACGAUUUAUGCAAGCGAGCCAUUGAACUGGGUGAGGAAGGGUCAUUAUCUGAAGAGGGUUACAAUAUUGCAUUUCGUGCAGUAGUUGAAGCUCUAAAGAACUGUGUGAAUGUUAAUAAUGUUAAAAGUGCUGCAGAAUCUAGCAGUACUGCACUCUGUCUCCGUGACAUUGAAGAAGAGAAUCAACGAAGCCUUGCUGUUAAAACGAGUAAGAAAAGGACUCCAACAAAGAAAAGAAAGGUACAAGCGGAGCCCGGAGGUAUACUUGUUGAGCCACAGGACAGCUUGCAGCACAUGGAGAACCUAAGCUCAGAUGGACUAAGCCUUAACGGCUAUUAUGGUGCUCAGCAGAAUAUGCAAGGACUGCUACAAUUGAACUUAAUGGAACCACCGCAUGAUGCUUAUUAUGUCAGUCCAGAGAGCAUGCCAGGCCUGGUUUGUCUUGAUGAACUCUUGACGAUCUAAAAAUAUUCAAACGGGAACUUUAUGUAUUUCUGUAAUUCUUAAAAUGGUUUUGUAGGGACAAAUGGCAUCCAGCCAUGGUGGUUUUUUUGGGACUCAGCAAAGCAUGCAUGGACUGGGGCAUUUGGAUUUCAGGCCACAAACCAGUUUCAGUUACAACUUGCAGGAUGACCCCAAUUUGAGAUCAAGUCAUUUGCAUGGCAAUUCCUCAAGACAUGCAUAAAAAGAUCCAAUCGUGAUGGUGGAAGUAGUAGCACUCCACCUAUAUAAUUUUUUUUGGUAAACAGUAGCACUCCCUAUAUAAUGAAGCUUCAAGCUGGCUUAUAUUGCACCUGGGCAUCGUGUGGUAAUCCGAGACGUUGAUCCACGAAAAUGGUUCACCGAUUCACCUGAUGUUUACUUUGUAACAUGAAUGAUCGGUACUUUUUUUACACUGUACUGUUAUUGUAAUCCUCAAAGUGGGAAGAAAAAAAAAGGGAAUGCUGGCCCUUCCUCAUCAUUGAGUAACUUUGUGGGAUGACAAUUUGGCUGCAGGAGUAGUAGACGACGCGAAGUUGCUGACAAGAAUUUUAGUUACUUACGCAGGUGCUGAAACUGAUUUGAAGAGUGUAUAGUCUUUCUCCAUGAAUCAGAAGUGGUAGAUUACAAGUUAUGAAAAUUUGUUUCGCAUAA
Molecule: RNA transcript, 3582 nt
Organism: Rhododendron vialii
Lineage: Eukaryota; Viridiplantae; Streptophyta; Magnoliopsida; Ericales; Ericaceae
Gene name: protein FAR-RED IMPAIRED RESPONSE 1
Exons: 7
Source: RefSeq, a predicted model, not a curated record